AACGAACGCUGGCGGCAUGCCUAACACAUGCAAGUCGAGCGGAUGAGUGGAGCUUGCUCCAUGAUUCAGCGGCGGACGGGUGAGUAAUGCCUAGGAAUCUGCCUGGUAGUGGGGGACAACGUUUCGAAAGGAACGCUAAUACCGCAUACGUCCUACGGGAGAAAGCAGGGGACCUUCGGGCCCUGCGCUAUCAGAUGAGCCUAGGUCGGAUUAGCUAGUAGGUGAGGUAAUGGCUCACCUAGGCGACGAUCCGUAACUGGUCUGAGAGGAUGAUCAGUCACACUGGAACUGAGACACGGUCCAGACUCCUACGGGAGGCAGCAGUGGGGAAUAUUGGACAAUGGGCGCAAGCCUGAUCCAGCAAUGCCGCGUGAGUGAAGAAGGCC
RNAcentral lists this ribosomal RNA (386 nucleotides) under uncultured bacterium. RNAcentral describes it as "bacterial SSU rRNA". It matches the Rfam family "Bacterial small subunit ribosomal RNA", at positions 29 to 416 of the family's 1533-position model. The record is from RNAcentral.